RNAcentral lists this ribosomal RNA (768 nucleotides) under Arthrobacter sp. FRC_AA20. RNAcentral describes it as "bacterial SSU rRNA". It matches the Rfam family "Bacterial small subunit ribosomal RNA", at positions 32 to 814 of the family's 1533-position model. Lineage: Bacteria; Bacillati; Actinomycetota; Actinomycetes; Micrococcales; Micrococcaceae. The record is from RNAcentral.
AACCUUGGCGGCGUGCUUACACAUGCAAGUCUUAACGAUGAUCCCAGCUUGCUGGGGGAUUAGUGGCGAACGGGUGAGUAACACGUGAGUAACCUGCCCUUGACUCUGGGAUAAGCCUGGGAAACUGGGUCUAAUACCGGAUAUGACUGUCUGACGCAUGUCAGGUGGUGGAAAGCUUUUGUGGUUUUGGAUGGACUCGCGGCCUAUCAGCUUGUUGGUGGGGUAAUGGCCUACCAAGGCGACGACGGGUAGCCGGCCUGAGAGGGUGACCGGCCACACUGGGACUGAGACACGGCCCAGACUCCUACGGGAGGCAGCAGUGGGGAAUAUUGCACAAUGGGCGCAAGCCUGAUGCAGCGACGCCGCGUGAGGGAUGACGGCCUUCGGGUUGUAAACCUCUUUCAGUAGGGAAGAAGCGAAAGUGACGGUACCUGCAGAAGAAGCGCCGGCUAACUACGUGCCAGCAGCCGCGGUAAUACGUAGGGCGCAAGCGUUAUCCGGAAUUAUUGGGCGUAAAGAGCUCGUAGGCGGUUUGUCGCGUCUGCUGUGAAAGACCGGGGCUCAACUCCGGUUCUGCAGUGGGUACGGGCAGACUAGAGUGCAGUAGGGGAGACUGGAAUUCCUGGUGUAGCGGUGAAAUGCGCAGAUAUCAGGAGGAACACCGAUGGCGAAGGCAGGUCUCUGGGCUGUAACUGACGCUGAGGAGCGAAAGCAUGGGGAGCGNGNCAGGAUUAGAUACCCUGGUAGUCCAUGCCGUAAACGUUGGGC